GCGAUGCUCUACCUCUGAGCUAAGUGGGC
This 29-nucleotide transfer RNA is filed under the name Poa kerguelensis. Its description in RNAcentral is "partial tRNA-Thr". Lineage: Eukaryota; Viridiplantae; Streptophyta; Magnoliopsida; Poales; Poaceae. The record is from RNAcentral.